UCGCCUGUUUAACAAAAACAUGGCCUAUUGAUAAUAAUUUUAGGUUUAACCUGCCCCCUGAAGAUUUAAAUGGCCGCAGUAAUUUGACUGUGCAAAGGUAGCAUAAUCAUUAGUUUCUUAAUUAGAAGCUGGUAUGAAAGGUUGGAUGAGAAAAAUUCUGUCUCUAUUUAAUUUAAUAUGAAUUUUAUUUUUAAGUAAAAAAGCUUAAAUAUUUUUAAAAGACGAGAAGACCCUAUAGAGUUUAAAAAAUAAAUAUUUUUUUAGUUUUUAGAAAUUUAAUUUAUAAAAAUAUUUAUUUUUUUUAUUGGGGUGAUUGAAAAAUUUAUUAAACUUUUUUUUUAUUUAAACAUUAAUUUAUGAGAAUUUGAUCCAUUAUUUAUGAUUAUAAGAUAAAAUUACCUUAGGGAUAACAGCGUAAUUUUUUUUGAGAGUUCAUAUCGAUAAAAAAGAUUGCGACCUCGAUGUUGGAUUAAAAUUUAUUUUUGGUGUAGAAGUUAAAAAUAUUUGGUUUGUUUCGACCCAUUAAU
RNAcentral lists this ribosomal RNA (527 nucleotides) under Macroleptura thoracica. RNAcentral describes it as "partial 16S ribosomal RNA". The stretch from base 1 to 208 matches the Rfam family "Archaeal large subunit ribosomal RNA", at positions 1888 to 2143 of the family's 2987-position model. Lineage: Eukaryota; Metazoa; Arthropoda; Insecta; Coleoptera; Cerambycidae. The record is from RNAcentral.